ACCUUCAGCAGUUAAGAAUAUAAAACACAUAUUCAUUGUAUUAAAACAAAUCACUAUAAACAUCUGACCUAAAGAAGUAUAUCAUAAUUGCCUUUGCUUCAAACACACUUGGACAAAAACACACGUGUAAAAUGUAAUUCUGCCCGUCUGUGACCGCAGCUGUUCGGUUUUUAUAAACCUCUGUGGGCGUGGCACCCUCUCCAUUGAACUCCCACCUAUUGACUUUUGUGUUGUCUUUCACCGCCAGGACCUGUGCCUGGGGUGAAGAAGCAGAGCAAUGCUGACAGAGCCACGCCUGAGCAACAACACAAGCUGCGGCGCAAAACUAUGUUGCUGGAUCCAAGCAGCCUUCUAUGAAGGGGACUCGAGGACUGAGAGGGGACUCGAGGACUACUCCGUACACAUCUCUGGACCUGGUUUGUGACGGUGUUGAUCCAUGUGGAAGGGACACAGACACCCCAAGAGGCCCCUGUUUCACCUUUAAAUGAUCUGGACCUGUGCCUGAACCAGAACCACAUGGACCCAAGACCAGAGUCAUCAGAGGCAGUGCAGCUCAGGAUUCUUUCAGCAGCCUUCA
This is a long non-coding RNA of Gymnodraco acuticeps, 577 nucleotides long. RefSeq lists it as uncharacterized. The transcript has 4 exons. The record is from RefSeq and is a predicted model, not a curated record. Lineage: Eukaryota; Metazoa; Chordata; Actinopteri; Perciformes; Bathydraconidae.